UAAAUGAACGUUUGUGUCUAUC
This 22-nucleotide non-coding RNA is filed under the name Arabidopsis thaliana (thale cress). The record is from RNAcentral. Lineage: Eukaryota; Viridiplantae; Streptophyta; Magnoliopsida; Brassicales; Brassicaceae.